This is a non-coding RNA of Carica papaya (papaya), 1076 nucleotides long. The record is from RefSeq and is a predicted model, not a curated record. Lineage: Eukaryota; Viridiplantae; Streptophyta; Magnoliopsida; Brassicales; Caricaceae.
UUCUUUGUAUUUUAAAUAAAUGGUUUAACAUGUUUUUUACUCAACCUUUUAGCUUACAGCUUUCCUUUCAUCAAAUUUUUUGAAAUAUAAUAACUUAUUUAUUAGGAAAAAAAAAAAGCAUAAUUCAAAGUAUUAAAACGCCUACUUUUUCUCAGUCUUCACUUUCUCCCUUCAAAUCAAAAUCACGAGGUCCUUGGACAACAUACCAGUUGCUCGUAGAGAACAUUUUGGUGAUGGGUAUUGGCCGAUUCGAGUGGCUAUUCUUUUGAAAGUUUUGUUUAAGACUCAUUGGUUUGGUUAUCUUGAUUGGUUGAUGUAUAAUUCUUCCCCAUAUGCUUUGUCCAUUACCUGUUCGUUUAAAUGUCUGAACUCCAUGCAGGUUAACUUACACUAGAAGUUCACCAUUCCUCGAGCUUGACUCAUCAAUUUGUUGACAUAAAACUGGUUGACCAAGGGAGCCUACGCUUGAUUUCCUCAUUACAUCAUAAUUAGAGUAGAUGACAUACUGCAACAGUGAAAUUCAAAUGUUGUUGAUUCAAGAAAGAAUGGCAACUGGCAGUCUGAAGAACAUUUUGGCUGCAGCAGUCACCAAUGGAGUGAUUGAGGCCAGGGCGAGGAUCUUUGGGCAUAUGCUUAACCCUACCGGGUAGAGAUCUCCACACAAGAUUUUACGCAAGAAGCUUAUUGGUGAUAAAGUUGCAGACUGGUACCCGUAUGACAUCAAGAAAGACGACCCCCUUGUCAUGACCCGUCAAGAAGAAGAGUUAUGCUUUUUAUGUCUUACAGUCCCCUGAGAUUCAAUUAUCAACUGCAUAAUCCAUGGUGGAACUUGUUAUUGUUUGUCAGGUGGUUAUCCAAGCUUGAAAUGUUGAAGCGUCGUGGAAAGGGAGCACCGAAAAAGGGCCAGGGAAGGCAUCCUGUCAAGCGUAGCAAAUAUAGAUGAUAGCUUGAAUAUUUGAACUGAAUAAUUGAGAAUCAUCUGAAUGGAAAUGAUGGUAGUAACAAUUGAAUAAUUUAUAAUCCUUUGAAUGGAAAUGAUAGUAAUAGGACUACACAAUUUCUAGGAGUUAUUUGUA